AAAUUUUUGGAGGGAAAUCACUAAAUUAACAGAGCAAACACCCGUGGCAGAACUGCACUGUUCCCGAAGGCCCAUAGAAACUGAAGGACAUCACAUCACAUCACACACUGCUGACGCGUUUGUGUUUUCAGCACCUUGGACAGCGGCCAAACAGAAGCGCACGCCGCUGAGUAAGUGCGAGAGGUUCUCCUGCUGCUGCACUGCCAUUGGUCAGAUUUUCCGAGGUCGUGUGACUCAUAACGGAGCCAGAAGGCAGAAACACAGUGAUGAGCUCAACCGUGACUGAACUGGGCUGAUCAGACAGACUGAGCUGCACCUGCAUCCCUGCGGUGGACACGUGUGACGUCACUGAGCUGAUGAAUGUGGAUUAAACACUGGCUGAUAUUAAACCACACAAGGGAAGAUGAGGCAGACACCCUUGGUUGUACCUGUAGUGGCCCAUUGGCUUCAACAAGCAAGACAUGGAGAGUUUCUGACAGAAAAAGGAAACUGAGUUUUGGAAACAAUUGAGGCGCAGGGGAAAGAGAUGGCUGUUUGAUCUUCAGAGGCCAUUUCCACAUCUUACAGCUCUUUCGGAACUUCAAAUGACUGUGCCUCAGGGCGAGCAACUGCAACUGCAGUAAAGACAAAGCCACAUGCCAGAUUGAAGUCAUGGACGCGCCAACAAGGACACGUUUCUGUUGCAUCUCCUGUUUCUCAGGAAGCACUUGGACAUAAAUGACAUUCUCCCAAAACACUGUAAGAAUUCCCGCAAUUCUUUAUAAAACUAUAAUCUAGAAUAAGCUCUCUAUAUCAGUGUGCAAGGACUGUGUGGACUUGCCUGAUCAUUAUAGGGCGAUUUCCAAAUAUUGAAGUUUUGCUAGUAAUUACUUGCUGUAGUCAAAAAUUCAUUCAUU
This is a non-coding RNA of Danio rerio (zebrafish), 896 nucleotides long. NCBI's taxonomy places the organism in Eukaryota, Metazoa, Chordata, Actinopteri, Cypriniformes, Danionidae. The record is from Ensembl.